UGUCAAGAGAUCUAAAAGGGAUUCCUUUGAGUCACUUUCCUCACAUUCUAUGACUCUGAAAAAUUCUUUUGAUAAAUUCAUGAUAAUUUGGCGAAUUAGGAGACCGAUGCAGGAGGGUUAAAUUCUGCUCUUACAAUUAAAUACAGAGUAAAAAAAACUUCAUGUAAGUCUU
Nicotiana tabacum (common tobacco) is the source of this 172-nucleotide non-coding RNA. The record is from RefSeq and is a predicted model, not a curated record. NCBI's taxonomy places the organism in Eukaryota, Viridiplantae, Streptophyta, Magnoliopsida, Solanales, Solanaceae.